CACCGCGGUUAUACGAUACGCCCGAGUUGACAGCCUUCGGCAUAAAGCGUGGUUAAUUUAUACUUAAACUAAAGUCGAACCCGUUCGAUAUCUGUAAAAAGCUCACGAACAUAGAGAAGCCCAACAACGAAAGUGACUUUAAAACCAAUGAAUCCACGAAAGCUAAGAAA
Molecule: ribosomal RNA, 170 nt
Filed under: Trimma sp. CBM DNA No. 2008-025
Lineage: Eukaryota; Metazoa; Chordata; Actinopteri; Gobiiformes; Gobiidae
Description: partial 12S rRNA
Source: RNAcentral